GGCAGCCCGAGUGGUGAUCACUAUUAUUGGGUCUAAAGGGUCCGUAGCCGGUUUAAUCAGUCUUCUGGGAAAUCUAAUCGCUUAACUAUUAGGCUUCCAGGGGAUACUGUUAGACUUGGGACCGGGAGAGGUAAGAGGUACUGCAGGGGUAGGAGUGAAAUCUUGUAAUCCCUGUGAGACCACCAGUGGCGAAGGCGUCUUACCAGAACGGGUCCGACGGUGAGGGACGAAAGCUGGGGGCACGAACCGGAUUAGAUACCCGGGUAGUCCCAGCUGUAAACGAUGCUCGUUAGGUGUCAGGAACGGUGCGACUGUUUCUGGUGCCGAAGGGAAGCCGUGAAACGAGCCACCUGGGAAGUACGGCCGCAAGGCUGAAACUUAAAGGAAUUGGCGGGGGAGCACUACAACGGGUGGAGCCUGCGGUUUAAUUGGACUCAACGCCGGAAAACUCACCGGGGGCGACAGCAAUAUGUAGGUCAGGUUAAAGGUCUUACCUGAAUCGCUGAGAGGAGGUGCAUGGCCGUCGUCAGUUCGUACUGUGAAGCAUCCUGUUAAGUCAGGCAACGAGCAAGACCCGUGCCCACUGUUACCAGCAUAUCCUUUAUGGAUGAUGGGGACUCUGUGGGGACCGCUGCUGCUAAAGCAGAGGAAGGUGCGGGCUACGGUAGGUCAGUAUGCCCCGAAUCUCCCGGGCUACACGCGGGCUACAAUGGUUGGGACAAUGGGUAUCUACUCCGAAAGGAGUUGGCAAUCUCUUAAACCCAAUCGUAGUUCGAAUUGAGGGCUGUAACUCGCCCCCAUGAAGCUGGAAUCCGUAGUAAUCGCGUUUCAACAUAGCG
RNAcentral lists this ribosomal RNA (839 nucleotides) under uncultured archaeon. RNAcentral's name for it is "bacterial SSU rRNA". It matches the Rfam family "Archaeal small subunit ribosomal RNA", at positions 478 to 1315 of the family's 1478-position model. The record is from RNAcentral.